GCAUAUCAAUAAGCGGAGGAAAAGAAACCAACCGGGAUUGCCUCAGUAACGGCGAGUGAAGCGGCAAGAGCUCAAAUUUGAAAUCUGGCCCCUCCGGGGUCCGAGUUGUAAUUUGCAGAGGAUGCUUCGGGUGCGGCCCCCGUCUAAGUGCCCUGGAACGGGCCGUCAGAGAGGGUGAGAAUCCCGUCUUGGGCGGGGUGUCCGUGCCCGUGUGAAGCUCCUUCGACGAGUCGAGUUGUUUGGGAAUGCAGCUCUAAAUGGGUGGUAAAUUUCAUCUAAAGCUAAAUACUGGCCGGAGACCGAUAGCGCACAAGUAGAGUGAUCGAAAGAUGAAAAGCACUUUGAAAAGAGAGUUAAACAGCACGUGAAAUUGUUGAAAGGGAAGCGCUUGCGACCAGACUCGCCCGCGGGGUUCAGCCGGCAUUCGUGCCGGUGUACUUCCCCGUGGGCGGGCCAGCGUCGGUUUGGGCGGCCGGUCAAAGGCCUCCGGAAUGUAUCGCCCCCCGGGGCGUCUUAUAGCCGGAGGUGCAAUGCGGCCAGCCUAGACCGAGGAACGCGCUUCGGCACGGACGCUGGCAUAAUGGUCGCAAACGACCCGUCUUGAAACACGGACCAAGGAGUCUAACAUCUACGCGAGUGUUCGGGUGUCAAACCCGUACGCGCAGUGAAAGCGAACGGAGGUGGGAGCCCCCUCGUGGGGCGCACCAUCGACCGAUCCUGAUGUCUUCGGAUGGAUUUGAGUACGAGCGUAGCUGUGGGGACCCGAAAGAUGGUGAACUAUGCCUGAAUAGGGCGAAGCCAGAGGAAACUCUGGUGGAGGCUCGCAGCGGUUCUGACGUGCAAAUCGAUCGUCAAAUUUGGGUAUAGGGGGCGAAAGACUAAUCGAACCAUCUGGUAGCUGGUUCCUGCCGA
This 912-nucleotide ribosomal RNA is filed under the name Aspergillus sparsus. Its description in RNAcentral is "LSU rRNA". It matches the Rfam family "Eukaryotic large subunit ribosomal RNA", at positions 38 to 964 of the family's 3401-position model. Lineage: Eukaryota; Fungi; Ascomycota; Eurotiomycetes; Eurotiales; Aspergillaceae. The record is from RNAcentral.